GGUGAAUGAAACACAGUGUAAAGUGCUUUGGAUAAAAGCGCUAUAUAUGUGCACCAUUUACGAUGGUUUCGACGUAUAAUAUCCGCUUAGAGCCGAUACAUUUAGAGGCUUGGUUUCGACGAUAAAAGUGUCCCUUGUUUUGCGGCUUGAUUAUACGUCAUAUCGACGAUAAUCUUUGCGACUUUCCGCCGACUUUUUCAACGUCGAUUUGUUUGCUGGGCUGUCACCCCCAAACCAAUGGCCUGGAUGAAAAAUCAAAUGACAACAUAAAGUGGGGGACAAGUGGAACCCACACUAUUCCAGCUAAAUGCCCCCCACAGCAUAACAGAGCCACUGGAUCCCCUCAGCUGGAAUGCAGAUGAUUACUGCAUGGUAUGCUCCUUGCUUGAAAAAGAUGAAGAUCAGAGCAUGAUUGAAAUGGUGCAGUGUGGUGUGUGCAGUAGGUGGGCACAUUUUGAAUGUGCCCAAUAUGAAAACCAUAGUUGUGUUACAUAUACGCGCAAAAAGUGCCACUAGCUGCAGUUAUAACAUGGGUAGCAUACUUCAUGGGGCAGAAAAGAAGCUGUCAGAGAUAGCAGGACACUGUGAAAUGUGUAAAAAAUUAAGGUAACACAUCUUGACAGGGAAAUAAUGAGUCAUCAGAAUGUGCUACCAGCAUAACAUUCAUGUGUGAUUUGUAAAUGACUUCUGUAUGUUAAUAAAG
Molecule: long non-coding RNA, 703 nt
Organism: Ictalurus punctatus (channel catfish)
Lineage: Eukaryota; Metazoa; Chordata; Actinopteri; Siluriformes; Ictaluridae
Source: Ensembl